AUGGUAUCAGUUAUACCAGUGAAGGAGAAGAAACUCCUGGAUGUCAAACUAGGGGAGCUGCCAAGCUGGAUACUGAUGCAAGAUUUCACCCCUAGUGGCAUUGCUGGAGCAUUUCAAAGAGGUUUCUACUGGUACUACAACAAGUACAUCGACGUGAAGAAAGGGUGUCUCAGGGGGUUCCACGGUACUGGCAGCUUACAUGCUCUUCAGCUACUGCCUUUCCUACAAGGAGCUCAAGCAUGAGCAGCUAUGCAAGUACCACUGA
This 265-nucleotide long non-coding RNA is filed under the name Homo sapiens (human). Its description in RNAcentral is "non-protein coding lnc-ACTL7A-3:1". The record is from RNAcentral. Lineage: Eukaryota; Metazoa; Chordata; Mammalia; Primates; Hominidae.